UACGUAGGGGGCGAGCGUUGUCCGGAUUUAUUGGGCGUAAAGAGCGUGUAGGCGGUUCGGUAAGUCUGUCGUGAAAUCCUGAGGCUCAACCUCGGACGUGCGAUGGAUACUGCCGGGCUAGAGGAUGGUAGAGGCGAGUGGAAUUCCCGGUGUAGCGGUGAAAUGCGCAGAUAUCGGGAGGAACACCAGUGGCGAAGGCGACACGCUGGGCCGUACCUGACACUGAUGCGCGACAGCAUGGGGAGCAAACAGG
RNAcentral lists this ribosomal RNA (253 nucleotides) under uncultured bacterium. Its description in RNAcentral is "partial 16S ribosomal RNA". It matches the Rfam family "Bacterial small subunit ribosomal RNA", at positions 524 to 776 of the family's 1533-position model. The record is from RNAcentral.